CCCUUGUCGAAAUUCUCUUGUGUGACCUGCUGAGCCAGUGCUUCCGCUCUGCAAGAAGCAUGUCAUCAUGAACACGGAUUGCACCAGACAUCACCACACCAAGGCCAAACCCUGGGAAGAUGUAGGCGUUGUUUGCCUGUAUGACAGACCAUGAUCGUAUUUUUAGUCCAGAACAAAAAAAAGCAAGGUCAUUACUGAUAGCGAUCAUACCUUGCUCCAUGUGUACGCUUGUUCAGCGGUGCACUCAGACUGAGAUGUUGGGUUGGACAAGGCAAAAAUGACAGGCCUCUAGGAAUUUGAAAUGGCUUCAACAACCUCCUGAGUGAAAGUUUGCCCCUUUCCAGAUGUGCCAAUCAAUACUGUUGGUUUGAUAGUCUGGAAGAUGCAUUUGAAGAUUUCCAACAGGUUCAUGCUCAUGGGCCCAUGGUUUCUUGAAGUGUUGAAGGGUCUCCUUUCGAGAUCUGGUUCUUUUCAACCUUUGAAUCAACAAGCCAUAUUUUCUUGCGGCACUCCUCAAUUGAUGCAUCACCUGUCUUGAUAUCUCGAGAGCUAUAAGUUCUGCAAUGCCUAGAAAGAGACCUCUCCAGCUCCCAGGAACAGGUAACUGUGCUCCGACAAUGAACCACCAACUAAUUUUAGUGCUGCAACAAGCCCAGAAAGGACCACGGAAGCUAACAAUACCUGAAUAUCAUCAUUGAAUACAAGGUGAGUUGUUCCAUAUUUUGCAAGGAGUUCAAAUGCAUUAUGGUUUGCAAAAUCCUCAAACUGCAUGACAAACAGUCUUUAGAUCAACUUCAUUAGGAAAAUAGUCAGAAUCAAAUAUAAAUGUCCAACCUGAGCAGUGGCCCUCUUUUGUCUUAAGCCAAUGUAGAACUCAUCAUUCAGCAGCGCCUCGUUAUUUGUACCAACAUCCAAUGUGAUUGGCAAACACUUUAGGAAUAUGGACGCACUCCUCCUAGAGCAGUGUAAAGGGCAAGCUUACCAACAGGGAUCCCCAUUCCCUAUAUAGAAUUCCCAAGAUCUCCAAGCCCCAAAAUUCGCUCACCAUCAGUAACAACGAUAACCUGAAUGCUCCUCUCUGGCCAGUUUUUUAGCACCUCAAGGAUCUUUCCCCUGUCCUUCAAGCUGAUAUAAAGACCCUGAGGACGGCUAAAUAUGGAUCCAUACUUUUGGCAGGCCUCACCAACUGUUGGAGUGUAAACGACAGGAAGUAGCUCCUCAACAUUGUCAAUGAGGAGCUUGUAGAAAAGCCUCUCAUUCCCCUCCUGCAAUAUGCAUUGAAAGAACAGUGUAACCAAACUGCGUAACUCAAAUGAGCUGAUCACUGAACCUGGAGCUCCUGGGAUACGAUUGCUGGUGGCAGAAGCCCACGGAGGUAGUGCGUUUCGCGCUCCCUUUCGUUGAAGGCAAGCCCCUUGUUGUAGCGAGGAUCCCUCAGCAAAUUGUAACCACUGGCGACGGAGACGGUCCACGGCGUGACGAGCUGCUCCUCGGUGGCGCAGUCCUCGCCGUAGGUGUCCCCGACGCCGCCCCC
This 1534-nucleotide small RNA is filed under the name Oryza sativa Japonica Group (Japanese rice). RNAcentral's name for it is "sRNA Os01g0723450". Lineage: Eukaryota; Viridiplantae; Streptophyta; Magnoliopsida; Poales; Poaceae. The record is from RNAcentral.